Cyprinus carpio carpio is the source of this 1251-nucleotide long non-coding RNA. NCBI's taxonomy places the organism in Eukaryota, Metazoa, Chordata, Actinopteri, Cypriniformes, Cyprinidae. The record is from Ensembl.
CAUUGCUGAAAAUAAUAAGUCUUACUCAGAACAGAACAGGACAAUACAUUCAUGUCAAACUUGGCGGUGCAUAUUUUCGCUUGAUUGGCGACCUAAAGAUUUGACCAGCGCAGGAAAUCCCCAGUUCGGUUUAUACGUAUAUGAGCGAUUCUGCGAUUCUGUACAAGCUGAAGAAUAGGGAAGAAUGGCUUGUCGAGGGAUUACUGGUGCAUAUGAUGUCAUUGUAAAACUGAAAGCUGGUAAUCCCCGUAAUCUUCAACCAACAUGACAUGCAGGGAAUCUGGUUUCCUUGAGUGCUUCAGACGGUCUGUUGUUGUUUUGAAUGAGCGCUUGAUGCAAAUCCUACUUUGGCUGCACUUCCGGGGGAAAAUGUCCUGACGAGCACUCAGCAUCUGCCCACUUGAGGUGCAUCGCUUGGGCUGGAGUCUGAGGAGAGACGGGAUCUCUGACCGGGAGUGACUCAGUGAUGACAGAAGCUCCAGAUUACAGGGUUUAGGCCUGCACUUCCCUUCACACAGCAAACGUCGCCCACGCUGGGUGUGUGGGCCCUGACAGCUCUAAAAACAGAGCCCUGCUUUCCUGACCGAGAGAACCGGAUUUUACCAUAUGAGCUUGAGAGGGGUGAAGAGAGGUCACACGUUGUUUGGUGACGUGCAGAAUCUAGUGGUGGUUUUUUAAAGCAAGGCCUGGUUUCUGAAUGCAGAUGCUUUCAGAGGAACCAAAACUCAUAAGAGGACAUCUUAAGGUCUUCUAACAAGCAAUGAAAGUAAGCAAACAUUAUGAAAGCGCUGGCCUCCGGGCACAUGCUGUCACCUGCCAAACGCUGUGAUGAGAGGCAUGGAAAUACUCUCCACACCAGCAGAGAAGAGCUUCAGAGAAGCACCUGUGGAUAGAAACACACAAGCCACAAAAAAAUAGAUUUUUAUAUUGUCACUGCUGCUGAACUGGCACAAGACUUUAAGAGUCAAAUACUAAUAAAUAUAACAAACCAGCUGAAUAGUGAAGCCUUGUGUGAGGUUGAAAGCUUGUGUGAGUCUUCAGUGAUGCUCUCAGACGUCAUUCUCACACAUUCAGAGACACAGGGCUGAUGGUGUAUCUGUGCUGGAUCUUCACUGACAUCAAGCAUCUGUAAGAUUCUCAGCAAGAAACUAUUUAAAGGUCUCUUGUUCUCACAAACAUACUGUAAGACUUCAGAAAAUUUGAAAUACAUUAUAAAAGCUUUUUUUGCUCAAUUUUUUAGGCUAGACACCC